Molecule: transfer RNA, 89 nt
Rfam family: tRNA
About the family: Transfer RNA (tRNA) molecules are approximately 80 nucleotides in length. Their secondary structure includes four short double-helical elements and three loops (D, anti-codon, and T loops). Further hydrogen bonds mediate the characteristic L-shaped molecular structure. tRNAs have two regions of fundamental functional importance: the anti-codon, which is responsible for specific mRNA codon recognition, and the 3' end, to which the tRNAs corresponding amino acid is attached (by aminoacyl-tRNA synthetases). tRNAs cope with the degeneracy of the genetic code in two manners: having more than one tRNA (with a specific anti-codon) for a particular amino acid; and 'wobble' base-pairing, i.e. permitting non-standard base-pairing at the 3rd anti-codon position.
Source: Rfam
GGGCUUGUGGUUUAGUGGUAUAAUACCCCCUUAGCACCAAACAUGCUAUAACUUGGGGGUGGUCCAGGGUUCGAUUCCCUGCAAGUCCA